GGGGAAUAUUGGACAAUGGGGGAAACCCUGAUCCAGCGACGCCGCGUGAGUGAAGAAGUAUUUCGGUAUGUAAAGCUCUAUCAGCAGGGAAGAAAAUGACGGUACCUGACUAAGAAGCACCGGCUAACUACGUGCCAGCAGCCGCGGUCAUACGUAGGGUGCAAGCAUUAUCCGGGGUGACUGGGCGUAAAGAGUUGCGUAGGCGGUUAGUAAAGCGAAUAGUGAAACCUGGUGGCUCAACCAUACAGACUAUUAUUCGAACUCACUAACUCGAGAAUGGUAGAGGUAACUGGAAUUUCUAGUGUAGGAGUGAAAUCCGUAGAUAUUAGAAGGAACACCAAUGGCGUAGGCAGGUUACUGGACCAUUUCUGACGCUAAGGCACGAAAGCGUGGGGAGCGAACC
RNAcentral lists this ribosomal RNA (403 nucleotides) under uncultured Candidatus Saccharibacteria bacterium. Its description in RNAcentral is "bacterial SSU rRNA". It matches the Rfam family "Bacterial small subunit ribosomal RNA", at positions 356 to 774 of the family's 1533-position model. The record is from RNAcentral. Lineage: Bacteria; Candidatus Saccharimonadota.